RNAcentral lists this transfer RNA (77 nucleotides) under bacterium. Its description in RNAcentral is "tRNA-Arg". It matches the Rfam family "tRNA". From Rfam's summary of the family: Transfer RNA (tRNA) molecules are approximately 80 nucleotides in length. Their secondary structure includes four short double-helical elements and three loops (D, anti-codon, and T loops). The record is from RNAcentral. RNAcentral also lists the same sequence under 3 other names.
GCGCCAGUAGCUCAGGUGGACAGAGCAGCGGCCUUCUAAGCCGCGGGUCAGGGGUUCGAGUCCCUUCUGGCGCGCCA